CAGACGAGGAGCUUGCUCCUCUGACGUUAGCGGCGGACGGGUGAGUAACACGUGGAUAACCUACCUAUAAGACUGGGAUAACUUCGGGAAACCGGAGCUAAUACCGGAUAAUAUAUUGAACCGCAUGGUUCAAUAGUGAAAGACGGUUUUGCUGUCACUUAUAGAUGGAUCCGCGCCGCAUUAGCUAGUUGGUAAGGUAACGGCUUACCAAGGCGACGAUGCGUAGCCGACCUGAGAGGGUGAUCGGCCACACUGGAACUGAGACACGGUCCAGACUCCUACGGGAGGCAGCAGUAGGGAAUCUUCCGCAAUGGGCGAAAGCCUGACGGAGCAACGUCGCGUGAGUGAUGAAGGUCUUCGGAUCGUAAAACUCUGUUAUUAGGGAAGAACAAAUGUGUAAGUAACUAUGCACGUCUUGACGGUACCUAAUCAGAAAGCCACGGCUAACUACGUGCCAGCAGCCGCGGUAAUACGUAGGUGGCAAGCGUUAUCCGGAAUUAUUGGGCGUAAAGCGCGCGUAGGCGGUUUUUUAAGUCUGAUGUGAAAGCCCACGGCUCAACCGUGGAGGGUCAUUGGAAACUGGAAAACUUGAGUGCAGAAGAGGAAAGUGGAAUUCCAUGUGUAGCGGUGAAAUGCGCAGAGAUAUGGAGGAACACCAGUGGCGAAGGCGACUUUCUGGUCUGUAACU
RNAcentral lists this ribosomal RNA (688 nucleotides) under uncultured Staphylococcus sp. Its description in RNAcentral is "bacterial SSU rRNA". It matches the Rfam family "Bacterial small subunit ribosomal RNA", at positions 70 to 741 of the family's 1533-position model. The record is from RNAcentral. Lineage: Bacteria; Bacillati; Bacillota; Bacilli; Caryophanales; Staphylococcaceae.